This 388-nucleotide long non-coding RNA is filed under the name Coccomyxa subellipsoidea. RNAcentral describes it as "long non-coding RNA (CSUB_LNC000198)". The record is from RNAcentral. Lineage: Eukaryota; Viridiplantae; Chlorophyta; Trebouxiophyceae; Coccomyxaceae.
AGACAAUGAACCUUAAUUGUCGUUGUUGAACGGGAAAAAUCUAGGAUCAAGCUAAAUAUUGCGCAGAUCGACAUCUGCAAGAGGAAUGAUCACGGGCUGCAAGCACUUGUUUCGGCAACAAAGAUCUCCCGUCUGUCAGAGGAUAAAUCCACUUGGCAUCACUGUGCGACUGAAGCACGAAGAUGCGGCGAACACGGCACAGACCCCUGAAGGACCCCUGCACGGCAUCAGGGUGAGGCUGCCAAAAAAGAGAGCGCUGUACAAGUGUGGACAUUCUGGGAGAUGGAUUGUUUUACAGCAUGCGAGAUAUACCCUCACUUUCCGACAUGAUCAAUUACCCCUCAGGUGCUGGAUGUCGGACAAGUCGUUGCUGGGAACUUCUGUGGAG